This 1380-nucleotide long non-coding RNA is filed under the name Salmo salar (Atlantic salmon). RNAcentral's name for it is "lncRNA (ENSSSAG00000083241.1)". Lineage: Eukaryota; Metazoa; Chordata; Actinopteri; Salmoniformes; Salmonidae. The record is from RNAcentral.
GUGAGUAGGCAUACUGUAUAGUCAAAGUUGGUUAGCCAAGGCCUCAGAAGUGGGAAAAGUACCUAAAAUAUUGGUUUAUUAAUACUUGGUUGACAAAACCUUUUUUUGUGCUAUGGAGAAUGCAUUAUCUGGAGAAAAAAAAAGUCAAAAUCUACACAGACUGAAUCAAAACAAAUCUCUCUUAGGCACUGAUCUCAGAGAGGUUUGAAAUAUAAUUCAGCCUCUGCUUACGUUGUAAACAUGUAGCUCCUCUAAUUAUUGUACUUGAAACGUAAUAUGUCUGACAUUGUGAGGAAUUUAGACUGUAUUUGCCACAAAUGGUUGUUGUUUAAAGGCUUAGGUUCCCUUAUAUUGGUGGUGUGGUAUGUUGAUGAACUGACAGUAAACCUUACUGUCUAGAAAGUACAUUCAUUAGAUCGAGUAAGAGUUAUGAAGUAUUUACAUUUACAUAUGGCAAAUAAACUUAAAACUAGAUAGUUUGCAGUCUAGUUGGUGCAUUUCUGUCAUAUCGAAUGAAACAGCUGAUUAGAAAUAACUUACAACUCUGUACAAUUUCAGAGAGUAACACAUACCAGCGCAAUAGGCAAUUGUUUAACUCCAUGUUCUAUCAUUAAUCUGGAGAGGCGGUAUUCUGAACUGCUUUGAAGCUGAGGUGUUGUAGGGUGUUUGGGGUUGUGUGUUGUGAGCUGUGUAUAGUGUUUGGGGCUGUGUAGUUGUGUGUUUUGGACAGCGUGGUUGUGUGUUUUGGACUGUGUGGUUGUGUGUUUUGGACUGUGUGGUUGUGUGUUUUGGACUGUGUGGUUGUGUGUUUUGGACUGUGUGGUUGUGUGUUUUGGACUGUGUGGUUGUGUGUUUUGGACUGUGUGGUUGUGUGUAGUGAGUUUAGUAGAGUGUUUUUGGCCCGUGGGUAGUUUAGUGGUGUGUUUUUGGCCCGUGGGUAGUUUAGUAGAGUGUUUUUGGCCCGUGGGUAGUUUAGUGGUGUGUUUUUGGCCCGUGGGUAGUUUAGUGGUGUGUUUUUGGCCCGUGGGUAGUUUAGUGGUGUGUUUUUGGCCCGUGGGUAGUUUAGUGGUGUGUUUUUGGCCCGUGGGUAGUUUAGUGGUGUGUUUUUGGCCCGUGGGUAGUUUAGUGGUGUGUUUUUGGCCCGUGGGUAGUUUAGUAGAGUGUUUUUGGCCCGUGGGUAGUUUAGUGGUGUGUUUUUGGCCCGUGGGUAGUUUAGUGGUGUGUUUUUGGCCCGUGGGUAGUUUAGUGGUGUGUUUUUGGCCUGCGUAGUGCAUUGGGCCUUUGAGAGGAAAGAGUGAGCGGGAUCUUGCUCCCCUGUGUGAGGACCAGUUCUGGCAGACAUUUCACUGGUUCAGCAGACAGUCCUCAGCACCAGGAUCA